GACGAACGCUGGCGGCGUGCCUAAUACAUGCAAGUAGAACGCCGAAGCGAGGAGCUUGCUCUUCUUGGAUGAGUUGCGAACGGGUGAGUAACGCGUAGGUAACCUGCCUUGUAGCGGGGGAUAACUAUUGGAAACGAUAGCUAAUACCGCAUAACAAUGGAUGACACAUGUCAUUUAUUUGAAAGGGGCAAUUGCUCCACUACAAGAUGGACCUGCGUUGUAUUAGCUAGUAGGUGAGGUAAUGGCUCACCUAGGCGACGAUACAUAGCCGACCUGAGAGGGUGAUCGGCCAAACUGGGACUGAGACACGGCCCAGAAUCCCACGGGAGGCAGCAGUAGGGAAUCUUCAGCAAUGGGGGCAACCCUGACCGAGCAACGCCGCGUGAGUGAAGAAGGUUUUCGGAUCGUAAAGCUCUGUUGUAAGUCAAGAACGGGUGUGAGAGUGGAAAGUUCACACUGUGACGGUAGCUUACCAGAAAGGGACGGCUAACUACGUG
Molecule: ribosomal RNA, 497 nt
Filed under: uncultured bacterium
Lineage: Bacteria
Description: partial 16S ribosomal RNA
Rfam family: Bacterial small subunit ribosomal RNA
Source: RNAcentral